Chelonoidis abingdonii (Abingdon island giant tortoise) is the source of this 179-nucleotide unclassified non-coding RNA. The record is from Ensembl. Lineage: Eukaryota; Metazoa; Chordata; Testudines; Testudinidae.
UUGAGAACUCUGAUGUGCAAAGUCCUCAGUCUAUCUGCAGAACAGGUACAGCCCAGGCAGCAGCAGUGUAAACUUCCUCACAGUGCUCUGCCGAUGUGCCUCAAACCUGACCUGGAGGCAUCAUCUCUAGGAUUCAGAGAGUAACUCAGUCUUCCCGUACAUUUAAUCCUGCUGAGACU